GUCGUGACCGUUCCAGCCACCGCCAAGGUAAGGUGCUUUCUCCAUCUCAAUUUCCUUCCUUCCCCAUCAAGGUUAAUUUGGAUGCGUACUUAAGUGAUUUUGGUGUUGCUCAUCGGAUUUGUAUAUGUACGUACGUGUGUCUUCGAUCUGCUUCAUUUGGAUACGUUGUUAAGUAAUUCACAUCUUCCCCGUUACAAUACGUGCAUGAUCUUGUCUUGUGCUCUCAGGUAGGGAUGGCAAUGGGUACCCAUUACCCGCGUACCCGGCGGGUAAAAACCCUAUUAGGGUAAGGGUAUGAGAUAAAAAAAUACCCAUGGGUAUGUAAAUAGAAAAAUACUAAACCCAUUGAGUACAGUGGGUAUGGGCAUGGGAUAGCAUAACCCAUACCCGUGUACCCAUAUACCCACGUAAAAUCUGUUAAUGGACCUUCACAGCUUCACUAUUCAUAUAUCAAUCUAACUUCCCACAAAAUUAGUCUAUAUAUUCCACGAGAUACAUGUAGCAUUGUAGCCCACAUACGCACGUACAUGGAAAGAAUCUACGUGAUUAGCGUGAUUUGGCUUCGGCGAAUAAGGAAUACGUGAUCACGUCCCAUAUUGAGAGAGACAGAGAUUGAUAUCCUCCUCGUCUCCUCGUGACCUCGUCUCUCAUCUCAUCUGAUCAUCUCGGGGCUCCUCGCCUCCUCGGGCAUCGCUACUUUGCUAGUCGCCGCUGCCAAUGCGUCCAGCUGCUGGCUACCUCGCCGUCGCCAGUGCUUCCAGCCACUCAGACGCCAUGGACCUUGGGGAGGACCAUAGCCUACGCGAGGACGGCGACCGGGAGAAGGAGAUGCAGCUCACGCUCAAGCGGACUGAGUCGGACGGCGGCGACCACCACGGCCAGGAGCAUGGGCAUGGCACGGCUGCCCUGAUCCCAAGCCUAACACCGUCGUUGGAUGGUGCCAUCCGUCUCCAUCCGCCAGGAAAGGGGCAAGCCCCCGGCCGACGUAAGGGACCUCUUGUCUCGGCGUCGAAGGUGCAGCAGCGUUACGACACUUCAAGCCGGCCACGUCGCCCUAGCCCGCUUAGUCGAUCCUCUACUGUCAUCAAGCACAAGAACAAGAGCAAGGCUAUAUUGGCUUGGUGAGUUUCAAUUUUAUGUAUGAUUUUGUGCAUUCGUAGAUGAUACAUAGAUGUAUAGAUGAUGUGAUGAUAUGAUGUUUUUUUCGUGCAUAUAUAAGUUAAAAUAAGUAUUGAUUUUCUACCUAUGCAUGAUGUAUAUAGCUGUUGUGAUGAAUGAGGUUUUUGUAUAUCCGAGAAAAGAAGUAUUUGUUACUGAGAUGAGAUAAGUGUAGCAAAUUGUGUUCUAGUACAUCACUCGCUGUGUGAUUUUUUAGCAUUGUAACAACAUAGAUAGAAUCGGCAGUGGCCGGUGGCAGAAUAUUUUAGAUCUAUUUAAUGUGGCGUGGUAACUGAUCGUCUCUGCUUUUGUACAAGAUCAUUUUGUAAACAUCUACCUUCCCAGUUUCCAGGGGUAAAAAUGCAGAGACAUUGUAACUUGUUUCAGACUACUUAUAGUAAACAAAAUACAGUAAGAUUCAGGCCCAUUUAAGACAGCACUACAGCUGCACGUUUUGGUCAGAAAAAUGAUGACUUGCAGUUAAUAAAAAUUCGAAGUGCUCUACGAUUCGAAAUUAACUCUUCCUGGAAAUAUAAUCGUUGGACUGAAAAGAAAGAAUGCUGAAAACAAAAAAUUAACUAUUUAUAGUUGCUGUGAUGAAUACAUUUUUUUGUAUAUAGAUGAUAUCUACAGAUGUUAUGAUGCAUAUAUGAGCAUCAUACUUUCAGUUCACAUGUAGAAUCAAGUAUUAUAUUAAGAAGACUUCAAGAAUUUGAUGUAUUUUUUCAUUUAUGCUCAUUUUGCAGUGGUACAAGUUCAAGCAACCAAGUAGAUGUUCCUUGUGAUGCAUCUGCCCCAAUGGAUGAAGAUGGAGAUCAUGUCAUUCUUUCAGAUGAUGAAGAUGGACAGGAGCAGGAGGUGGAAGAGGUCAAUGAAGCAGGCAAACGGAAGCUAACUUCUAAAGUUUGGUUGGAAAUGAAGAAGAUCAAGAUCAAUGGGCAAUGGAAAGCAAAGUGCAACUAUUGUCACAAGGAACUUGUUUCAGGACCCAGAGCAGGCACGAAGCAUCUUGCUACUCACCUAAAGAUUUGUACUCUGAAGAUGUUGAAGACGAAGGGAGGCAAAACAUUGAGUCAGCCAUCAUUGAGGAUGAAUGCUAAGGACGACGGUAACGUUUUUUUGGAGAGCUAUACCUUUGAUCAAGAGGUUGCUAGAAGAGAGCUUGGUAACAUGUUGGUGUUGCAUGAGUACCCACUGUCUAUAGUGGAACAUGCUGGUUUUAGGAAGUUUGUUCAUGCACUUCAGCCACUAUUCAAGCUACAUACAAGAAAUACUUUUAGGUAUACCUUGCUAUGGUUUUAUUUGAUUUAUUUCCGUCUACCUUCUUCUAUGAAAUGAGGAGGUAACAUAUGGUAUCCUCUUCUUUUGUCUUUUAGGCAAGAUAUUGUGGAAAAUUAUGAAGAAGAAAAAAAGAAGGCAAUUGAUUACAUGACUAUGAACCAAUCUAGGGUUGCUAUCACUACAGAUAUGUGGACUGCUGACCACCAAAAGAAGGGAUAUAUGGCUAUUACAGCUCAUUUCAUUGAUGAAUCUUGGAAGCUUCGAAAUGUUAUCAUGAGGUACUACUAUGUGCUGCUGUAUAUUAUGUGUUGCUGAUCAUAUGCUGCUGUUUAUGAUGUGCUGCUGUUUAUGAUGUAUUGCUGACUAAGAUGUGCUGCUGUUUAAUAUGUGUUGCUGUCUAUGAAGUGCUGCUGUUUUUAUGUGUUGUUAUUUAUUAUAUGCUGUUGUUUAUGACUAUAUGUUGCUGAAUACUGCAGGUUUGUAUAUGUUCCAGCUCCUCAUACAAGUGAAGUGAUAUGUGAGGUGCUCUAUGACUCCCUGCUUCAAUGGAAUAUUGAUGAAAAAUUGAUGGCAGUGACUGUGGAUAACUGCACCACCAAUGACAAGGCAAUUGAGAUGAUUGUGGGGAAGAUAGGGAAGGAGAAGCUCCCUUUGGAAGGUACUCUGCUGCAUAUGCGUUGUAGUGCACACAUCUUAAAUCUUAUAGUUAAGGAUGGAUUGCAUGUUAUGAAGUCAGCUAUAGAAAACAUUAGGGAAAGUGUGGCAUAUUGGACCGCGACAGGAAAAAGGAUAGAGAAGUUUGAGGAGAUGGCUAAGUUUAAGAAAGUAAAAAUAACAAGAAAGUUGAUUCUUGAUUGCAAAACUAGGUGGAAUUCCACUUUCAUGAUGCUAGAAGCAGCUUUACCAUAUAGAGUUGUUUUUGAACGUGCAAAACAAGUUGACAAACAAUAUGAGCAUUUACCUAGUGAUAAAGAAUGGGAGUUUGCUGCAGAGAUGGUGGAGAGACUUGGCUUAUUCUAUGAGAUAACUAAGUUGUUCUCCGGAACUAAUUAUGUGACCGCUAAUGUUUACUUCCCUAGAAUCUGUGAGAUUAAAAUGAAAAUGAGACAGUGGGCCACUUGUAGCAACCCAAUUAUCAAAAAACUCUCUGAGGAAAUGACAACUAAAUUUGAUAAGUAUUGGACGGACAUUCAAGAUCUCAUGGGGAUGGCUACACUUCUUGAUCCUCGGUACAAGAGGCACAUGUUGACUGCUUGCUUUGCCAUGCUUCAUGGCAUUGAGCCAUCUUCUUAUGAGUGUGUGGAGUUGGUUGAUGCAUUAGUUGCUAGAUUACAUUCACUGAUAGAGGAGUAUGAAGUGGAAGUAGAUGAAUAUAAACCAUGUGAAGAAUUGAUUUCUUCAAUGAAAGCUCCAGCCAUCAUGAAUAUUUUCAAUGACAUUGUCGCCAAACAAAGUCCUGCUACAGCUCGGUUGCAAGGUGAAAUAGAUAUGUACUUGGCAGAUGGCCUAGUGCCAUACACAGAAGUAUUUAGUGUGUUGGAUUGGUGGAAAGUAGCUGGAACAAGAUAUCCAACAUUAAGGAAGGUUGCCAGAGAUAUUUUUGCCAUUCCCGUGACAACAGUUGCUUCAGAAUCGGCCUUUAGUACAAGUGGCAGAAUACUUAGUGAACAUAGGAGCCGCCUAACUCCUGAUAUGGUGGAAGUUUUGAUGUGCUCCCAAGAUUGGCUUAGAAACAAAUGCAAAGGUGAGCAAAUAAUGUAAUUUUUUUUCAAACUUACUCUUUAUUUAACUAUUUCUAAUCAUGUCUUGUCAUCUCUACAAAUUGUGUGUUUUAGAUGCUCAUAAAGGAGAUGCUAGCUUUUGGACUUGCCUUCAAGACAUUCAAGAGGGGAUGCAGGUUAGUAUUCACCAACACAUUUCCUUUGCCGAUAGAUUAUUUGAGUGCAUAUGCUAUAAGAAAAAUUCUAAUAAAAUGACUACAUUCAUGUUUCCAACCAGGACUUGGCCCUUUGAGAUGUAGAGACAUGGUCUCGGCGAGUUAUGCUCAAGAUUGACGACUUAUUGUGCCAAGGUCUUCAUUAUGCUACUAUCGGAUUGGUCGAGUUUAUUUUAAUUGAACUAGUUACAAUGUCGAAACUUUAUUGGGAUGCUUAUUUUGUGGCCUUAUGUACGGUCAAAUUACCUCCAUACUUUGUCGUGAUUUUGUGAACUUAAAAUAAAUGACUAUGUGUUGCUGCAUACAAAUAAGUGGUGUUGUUUAUGGGAUUGUGUUUUCUUUAUGAUGUGUUGUUGUUUAUUAGUAUGUGAUGUCUAUAAAUUAUGUUGAUAUGUUGUCGUUUAUGAUUAUUUCUUCCUCAAGUUGAUGUCCGCACACGUGGGUAUUUAUACCCGUGGGUACCCAUUUACCCUGUCGGGUGAUGGGUAUGGGGAAAAAUUGUACCCGUUGACGGGUAUGGGUACGGGUGAUGGGUAAGCUCAAAGGGGAUGGGUAAGGGUAUGGGGUAACUCCACCCGUACCCAAACCCGGUGGGUGCCAUCCCUACUCUCAGGUUUAUAUAUUUGCUUGCUUAACAUCUAUCCUACUGCCUGGAAUCAGCAGUCAAUUUGUUCAGGAAAAGAAAUCCACUUAUUAGGAAGUAAAGUGAAGCAACCAUAUGGAUCCAUCAAUUUGUUGAUUGUACUUUGUUUGAUGUGUGAUGUGCUUGUGUGGUGAGAGGCGAGGAGUGGCUUUAGGUCCCUCUCCUUUUUGCCUGACUGAGCAAGAAGAGAAGAGAAACAGUAGGAGGAAUUCAGAACUGUAUUUCCUCAAUUCAGAUUUACCUUUGUUCAGUGACAAGUUCAGACCAAGUACAUUACCCAGCCGGCACACAGGCCCCACUCACACAUGAUUAACUCACACGCACACCUGUACCCUGCGCCACCGAACACCACAUAUGGAGGAGGUGGCGCCAGUGUACAGCUAAGGCACGACGUCAUGCAUGACAUGGUUCUGUAUUCUGUAUACAGUGUGAUACAAAUAGUUCAAACAUGCUCUGAGUGUUGAAAAAUUCAAAUUUGGUACUGCAAUUUCUCUUGAACGAUUUACUUUUGUGUUUUUAUUUGUCCUGUAUUUACUUUUUGAUGCUGAUAUUGCAGGGUUUAACGACUGCUUCAAUAUUGUAGGAAGAAGUGUGGAACUAGAAGCAUCGGUAGAAAUAGUAAUGAAGGCAAGACCGACUUAGAAAAGCUUUUGUUUUUUGUUUACUGUGGUCUUCUUACAUAAUUUAAGUUUUAGAUCUAAUGCAUGAGCAGAAAAUGCUAGGUUCUUAAUACCUGUGAGAUGAUAUGCAGGACAGUAUAUUUAUUUAUUUACUUAGGGAAGGAGAGAAUAUAAUUUAGGUAUAAUGUACAUGGUCAUUUUACUUUUACUUUGACAUAUGCUUAUGUUCCUUUUUUUGUAGCCAGAUCAAACUCAGCACAGAUGUACAUGCACCGCGCGCCUCACUGAUGUGAGGAUCCAUUUCCUCAAUCCCCUCUUAAUCUCCAACAUCUCCCCAUUCCAAUGUUGGCGUACUUGACCGGAAGUGAGUGCGCGGCGGAGCAAAGCUCAGCCUGGGUCUUCAUCAACGCAAAAUGGGGCAGGAGGGAGCGGGAAGUUUUUCAGCCGCAUGAAUGUGGAAGGCGUUUGACAAAUCAGAGAUGUAUGAA
Molecule: long non-coding RNA, 6126 nt
Filed under: Triticum aestivum (bread wheat)
Lineage: Eukaryota; Viridiplantae; Streptophyta; Magnoliopsida; Poales; Poaceae
Description: long non-coding RNA (TAES_LNC011341)
Source: RNAcentral